RNAcentral lists this long non-coding RNA (273 nucleotides) under Populus trichocarpa (black cottonwood). Its description in RNAcentral is "long non-coding RNA (PTRI_LNC003820)". The record is from RNAcentral. Lineage: Eukaryota; Viridiplantae; Streptophyta; Magnoliopsida; Malpighiales; Salicaceae.
UUAAAGUUAUUGAUGGUUUAAUUAUCUUGGACCACGAAGACCCCGGUCGUGCUUCUGGUUUCCAUUCCCAUCAUCAUAUUGAUGGUAAAUCUCCUCGUGCUCCGCCAUAAGAACUUGGAGUCCGUAUCAUAGUGAAGGUAAGGUAACGCUGUGAUUCUUGCUCAAAAAAUAGACCGAACGCGUUCGAGUUAUUGGCUCGUCCGACCCGACAGCAUUCAUGAGUCGCUCGUUCAACUGUCCCUCGGAGACAUGGUCGAGAAGUACCAUGCAUCC